This 400-nucleotide ribosomal RNA is filed under the name phytoplankton environmental sample. RNAcentral's name for it is "partial small subunit ribosomal RNA". It matches the Rfam family "Eukaryotic small subunit ribosomal RNA", at positions 587 to 984 of the family's 1831-position model. The record is from RNAcentral.
AGCUCCAAUAGCGUAUAUUAAAGUUGUUGCGGUUAAAAAGCUCGUAGUUGGAUCUCGGCCCGUUUGGGGUGGUUUCGCAAAUCGCGAGCACUGUCCUUUUAAACGGGCGUUUUUAACGGAGGAAUUUAGGUGCUCUUAAUCGAGUGUCUAGGUUCGCCGUUAGGUUUACUUUGAAAAAAUUAGAGUGCUCAAAGCAGGCAAUUUUCGCUUGAAUAUUCGUGCAUGGAAUAAUGGAAUAGGACGUCGUUUCUAUUUUGUUGGUUUUUAUGAAAUUGACGUAAUGAUUGAUAGGGACAGACGGGGGCAUUAGUAUUCAAACGACAGAGGUGAAAUUCUUGGACCGUUUGAAGACUAACUACUGCGAAAGCAUUUGCCAAGGAUGUUUUCAUUAAUCAAGAAC